This 256-nucleotide ribosomal RNA is filed under the name uncultured bacterium. RNAcentral's name for it is "partial 16S ribosomal RNA". It matches the Rfam family "Bacterial small subunit ribosomal RNA", at positions 524 to 779 of the family's 1533-position model. The record is from RNAcentral.
UACGGAGGGGGCUAGCGUUGUUCGGAAUUACUGGGCGUAAAGCGCACGUAGGCGGCUAUUCAAGUCAGAGGUGAAAGCCCAGGGCUCAACCCUGGAACUGCCUUUGAAACUAGAUAGCUAGAAUCUUGGAGAGGCGAGUGGAAUUCCGAGUGUAGAGGUGAAAUUCGUAGAUAUUCGGAAGAACACCAGUGGCGAAGGCGACUCGCUGGACAAGUAUUGACGCUGAGGUGCGAAAGCGUGGGGAGCAAACAGGGAU